This 406-nucleotide ribosomal RNA is filed under the name uncultured bacterium. RNAcentral's name for it is "bacterial SSU rRNA". It matches the Rfam family "Bacterial small subunit ribosomal RNA", at positions 9 to 416 of the family's 1533-position model. The record is from RNAcentral.
GAGUUUGAUCAUGGCUCAGGACGAACGCUGGCGGCGUGCUUAACACAUGCAAGUCGAGCGGUAAGGCUCCUUCGGGAGUACACGAGCGGCGAACGGGUGAGUAACACGUGAGCAAUCUGCCCUUCACAUCGGGAUAACUUCGGGAAACCGAAGCUAAUACCGAAUACGACCACCGAUGGCAUCUUCUGGUGGUGGAAAGUUCCGGCGGUGAAGGAUGAGCUCGCGGCCUAUCAGCUUGUUGGUGGGGUAAUGGCCUACCAAGGCGACGACGGGUAGCCGGCCUGAGAGGGUGACCGGCCACACUGGGACUGAGACACGGCCCAGACUCCUACGGGAGGCAGCAGUGGGGAAUAUUGGACAAUGGGCGAAAGCCUGAUCCAGCAACGCCGCGUGAGGGAUGACGGCC